GCUCGUAGUUGAACUUGAAGUGUACAUGGAUGGUGUACUUAGCAGUGCUACUGUUUGGUGUAUGCUUGAUGGGUGGACUAGCUGCAUGCACGCAAGUGUGUGCCAGUGAUGUCCAGCGUUUACUGUGAAAAAAUUAGAGUGUUUAAAGCAGGCUGGAUGGGCUUGAAUACAUUAGCAUGGAAUAACUGAAUAGGCUCUGAGGGCUAUUUUGUUGGUUUUGGGUGGCUCAGAGAAUGAUUAACAGGAACAGUUGGGGGCAUUAGUAUUUAAUGGCUAGAGGUGAAAUUCUUGGAUUCAUUAAAGACUAACUACUGCGAAAGCAUUUGCCAAGGAUGUUUUCAUUAAUCAAGAACGAAAGUUAGGGGAUCGAAGACGAUUAGAUACCGUCGUAGUCUUAACCAUAAACUAUGUCGACUCAGAAUUGCUGCACGGUUGCUUGAUGCCGGCAGCAGGGCUGUGUGGGAAACCAAAGUGUUUGGAUUCCGGGGGGAGUGUGGUUGCAAGGCUGAAACUUAAAGGAAUUGACGGAAGGGCACCACCAGGAGUGGAUUAUGCGGCUUAAUUUGACUCAACACGGGGAAACUUACCAGGUCAGAACAUAGUGAGGAUUGACAGAUUGAGAGCUCUUUCUUGAUUCUAUGGGUGGUGGUGCAUGGCCGUUCUUAGUUGGUGGAGUGAUUUGUCUGGUUAAUUCCGAUAACGAACGAGACCUUAACCUGCUAACUAGAGCAUGGAAGACUUGUGCUUCCAUCAUGGGGCUCUUCUUAGAGGGACUGUCGAUGUCUAAUUGACGGAGGUUUGAGGCAAUAACAGGUCUGUG
This 820-nucleotide ribosomal RNA is filed under the name uncultured eukaryote. Its description in RNAcentral is "SSU rRNA". It matches the Rfam family "Eukaryotic small subunit ribosomal RNA", at positions 626 to 1466 of the family's 1831-position model. The record is from RNAcentral.